RNAcentral lists this transfer RNA (67 nucleotides) under Marmota monax (woodchuck). Its description in RNAcentral is "tRNA.Ala". The record is from RNAcentral. Lineage: Eukaryota; Metazoa; Chordata; Mammalia; Rodentia; Sciuridae.
GGUUAUGGCUCAGCAGUAGAGCGCUCGCCUCGCACAUGCAAGGCCCUGGGUUCAAAUCUCAGCACCA